RNAcentral lists this ribosomal RNA (556 nucleotides) under Meyerozyma caribbica. Its description in RNAcentral is "LSU rRNA". It matches the Rfam family "Eukaryotic large subunit ribosomal RNA", at positions 92 to 664 of the family's 3401-position model. Lineage: Eukaryota; Fungi; Ascomycota; Pichiomycetes; Serinales; Debaryomycetaceae. The record is from RNAcentral.
AGUGAAGCGGCAAAAGCUCAAAUUUGAAAUCUGGCACCUUCGGUGUCCGAGUUGUAAUUUGAAGAUUGUAACCUUGGGGUUGGCUCUUGUCUAUGUUUCUUGGAACAGGACGUCACAGAGGGUGAGAAUCCCGUGCGAUGAGAUGCCCAAUCCUAUGUAAGGUGCUUUCGAAGAGUCGAGUUGUUUGGGAAUGCAGCUCUAAGUGGGUGGUAAAUUCCAUCUAAAGCUAAAUAUUGGCGAGAGACCGAUAGCGAACAAGUACAGUGAUGGAAAGAUGAAAAGAACUUUGAAAAGAGAGUGAAAAAGUACGUGAAAUUGUUGAAAGGGAAGGGUUUGAGAUCAGACUCGAUAUUUUGUGAGCCUUGCCUUCGUGGCGGGGUGACCCGCAGCUUAUCGGGCCAGCAUCGGUUUGGGCGGUAGGAUAAUGGCGUAGGAAUGUGACUUUGCUUCGGUGAAGUGUUAUAGCCUGCGUUGAUGCUGCCUGCCUAGACCGAGGACUGCGAUUUUAUCAAGGAUGCUGGCAUAAUGAUCCCAAACCGCCCGUCUUGAAACACGG